Molecule: non-coding RNA, 140 nt
Organism: Delphinapterus leucas (beluga whale)
Lineage: Eukaryota; Metazoa; Chordata; Mammalia; Artiodactyla; Monodontidae
Source: RefSeq, a predicted model, not a curated record
AUGUUUUGGUCGUAUGGCAGAGACACCGGGCCCCUUGCGUUACCCACUGAGCUUCUUGCGGUGAGGGGAUCAUCACUUAUUCUCCACCAUCUACGAAGAGCCCAUCGGAGCUGGUGUUGUGGCCUCUCCCUCUGCGGAGC